GUGUAUGCUCUGGAAGGGACAAGACCAGGUACCUGUCGGGGGAUGCGGCCGUGGUACCAGGCAUGGCUGCGCAGGUCCUCGCUGCUCAGGAGCAGCUCCUCCUCCAGCUCCUUCUUCAGUUUCUCGGGGGUCCUGUCCAUGAUGUGCCUCUCCUUGGAGAACUGCAACACAGAGUCAACCAUGAGCUCACCCUGCCCAGGCCACACCAGGCCAUGCCAGCUGGAGGUGACCGCCUGCUUCACUAAUCCAACCAGUUAUGCUACAGCCUGCAUUCAGGUAGGGGAGCCUGGAUAAUGAUUACAAAGAGCUGUGACCUUUCGUUUCUCCGGCCGCAACCAUGUAAUAAAAUUUUCACCUGCACAUGGGGACUAUGGUAGGAGAGUCCACCAAGAGGUUCCUUUUACCAGUCUACUCAAGCAGCUGGGCAGGAAGGGCCAGAGAGAUGUACAGACAGCAAGACACAGCAGCCCAGCCUGCUCUCUUCCCAGCGGAGAGCUUCCUCAUUCUCCUUCAGGACUGUCCUGACAUAGCGUGGGGAGGGCAGCUGUUCCCUUCUGGCCUUAGAUCCUGGGCCUCUGGGCAGUGAGGCCCAAAGCACAGUCCUUGGGCUGGUAGCGAUGGCCCUAACUUCUUUGCUGUUGGUAAACUCAUGUUCAGGAAUUGAGUCAGUCUUUAGAAACUUUUAGGGCAAAUGGACAGAGCAAUUUUAUGUCUCUUGAAUCUAAUAACAGAAGUCUGUCUUUAUUUCACAUUUCUAAUAUUUCAUUUUUAUGACAGAUAGGAAAGUGAAACAAAUUUAAAAAGACAACCCUGGUCCUUCACCUCAGAUGUUUGAGAAUCAGUGGUCUGCGGCGUUGCACAGUGGCCAUGGCAGUGAGUGCUGGGUGGACAGCGGUGGCUCCAGGUUUAAUUUAGAACCAUGCCUGCUUACAACAUGUGAACUGAACCUGGAAACCUGCCCAGUUCCCAGCAAGACCAGGCAUGCUGACCAGGAACCGCUUGCUGAAAGUCCCAUGAACAGAAAAAGGCUGUGUCCCUGUGGUUCUCCCAAGUUUCCCAGCUUGUCCUUCAAACCCCCAUGGGAGCCACAAAAUUAUUACUUAUCACACUACUUUUUAAAAAUGUUUAUUUAUUUUAUUUUUUUUGAGACAGGGUCUCACUGUGCUAGAGCACAGUGGUGCAAUCUCAGCUCACUGUAGCCUUGGCCUCCUGGGCUCAAGCAACCUCCUGGGCUCAAGCGAUCCUCCCAUCUCAGCCUCCCUGGUAGCUAGGACUACAACAGGCACGUGCCACCAUGCCUGGCUAAUUUUUGUAAUUUUUUUUUUAGAGAUAGGGUUUUGCCAUGUUGCCCAGGCUGGUCUCAAACUCCUGGGCUCAAGCGAUCCACCCACCUUGGCCUCUCAAAGUGCUGGGAUUACAGGCGUGAGCCACCAUGCCCGGCCUAUUACACUACUUUGCACGUCAGCAAAGAAAUAGCUCCAAAUCCUUUUCCACCAAACAACAACAACAACAACAACAACAACAAAGCCCUGGAAUUUUAGGGCUAGAUUCUCAUCCUCUAGUGCUUCUUUGCACAUUGGCCCAUAAGGAGCGCUAGCUGAAGAGUAACUCAGGGGCUGAUUUUUAGAUGGGGCUCUGGCUUACUAUUUGUUUACUUCUCCCUCCUUCUCACUGGGCAGACACUCACUUGGGAGUGUCUGAAGGAUGGAAUUUGCAUCAAAGAGAUGCGGACGCUGGCUGUCCAGGGUGCCUGCAGGCUUUAGACGGUGAUGUUUGACACCGUCCGCUCCCAUCAUUAAUAUUGUACGGCUUCAUCUGAAGACAGCUUGAGUGUGGAAUGCAGUUUGUCAACUCGGCCACGCUUUAUUGUUCGUUUAUUGUCUGACUUGCCUCCCACUAGACUGUAAGUUUCAUGAAAACAGAAAUCCAUCUACUUUUUCCCCACUGCCCUUGAGCAAUGCCUGAAAACAUCAGGCACUGGGUAUUCAGUAAACAAAUACCCUAGGAUGAGAAAAGAUGCUGACUUUGCUUAGUUAUGGAGAUUCUCCCUUUCGCCCUCAAGUCAUCUGAAGCCCUGUUUUCGCUGGGCAUGCUGCCAUUCAGCCAAAAGACCACAUUCCUCAAUCUCUGUCUCUUCCAGGGAGAUGUGGCCACAGGACUCAGUUCUGACCAAGGAGCUGAGAUGUGAUGGCUGGAGACUCAACACCAUUCUGGACGGGUCCAAUUGCAGGAACCUUCCAUGGCUCCCUGAACAAAACAUCCCUCAUGUCCUGCCUCCAUGCCUUUGUCUUGUGGUCCAGCAGACAGUGACACAUCUGUAGAGGUACACGGCCUGGCAGGAGUCCAGGAUGGGAACUGGGGAACAGCCAGGGGAAAGUCAGACAAGGUAGGUGGGGACCUUGAAGGCCAAGCAGAGACCAUGCCUUAUUUACCUUUGGCUCCCAGAGCCUGGCCCAGUGCCUGGCACACAGCGAGUGCCCAGUAGACAGUGACUGGCUGGAACCAUGCUCACUUGCUUGCCCUCUGUCUAGCAGGUUCCUUGUCACAUUGGGUGUGGAGGAGAGGAGAGAGCUUGGAGGCUGGUCAAGAACAAGUGACCUUGGGCCAUCUCUACACUUCUGAGCUUGUUUCUCUAUGCAUAAGGAGUGGGGAUAAUAACUCCCACCUUACAGGACUAUAGGACCUGAUGCAGGUAAAGCAUCUGGCACUAUACCUGGCACAUGGAUGCUCGCUUGACACAAUGUGGAAUUUGAACCCUCUUUCAAAGACGGCUUUUAGCAACAAAAUGGAACUACUUCACUAAAGAAGUAAAGAAAAAAAAUUACAAAAUCCAUCAGAGGUUUUAGAGAUAUCUGGCCCUCGAUAAUUUAGUUCUAAUGGAAUAAAAAAGCUAGAAGUUGGAAAACUGAUCUCUACUUAGGCACAGGUUUGUUUAUUCGUUUAUUUCAGUGCAAAGUCAACAGUUCCUGGGAUUUUGAGUAGCACUCAAUGGUUCUAUAGAUGCAGGGUGAGUAAGCAGGCAUACUGUCGCUUGGUGGCAAGCACUUUGUAUGCAUAUAUCUCACUAUUAACAAGUAUAUGUAUUAGCGCCAGGUGGCUCACAUAUCCACAAAUACACAGGUGACACAGCCCAGCAUGCGAGUGCAAGACAGUUUUGUGUUUGCACAAGACUAAGAGGUCCUUGUAUGUAGAUUCUGUCUUCUUGGACACUUAGUUGUUGAGAAAUUUUUUGUUGAAUUUUAAAAACUGAGAUGAUUUUCUAGUCAUUCAUUUAUUCCAUGAUCAAGCCUGGCAAUUAACUUGGUUGAAUAAAGAAAAAGAAGAAGGAGGGAAUGUGUGCAUAAAAAGAGGAGGUGGGGAGGAGAAGGGAGAGGAGGCUGGAGAAGGAGCAAGCUAGCAAGCUGCUGGGCUAUUCUAUCCUAGUUGGGAGUGUCAGGCUCCAACACCCGGAAUGCUAUCAGGGUUCUCAAACAAAAGCCUCCUUUCUUCAGUUUUGGAACAGUUUAUUAGCUUGAGGGAGAAGUCCACAACAGUCCAGGCCUCUUAUCAAAUUGUAUCAAACAACUCCACAGGUUGGGAUUUUCUAGAAAUCCUAUCCAGAAAUUUUGAUUACAAAUAAAAUUAUAAGUCUGACUG
This 3636-nucleotide long non-coding RNA is filed under the name Homo sapiens (human). Its description in RNAcentral is "HSALNT0293892". Lineage: Eukaryota; Metazoa; Chordata; Mammalia; Primates; Hominidae. The record is from RNAcentral.